GACGAACGCUGGCGGCGUGCUUAACACAUGCAAGUCGAGCGGAGCGGCGAACGGGUGAGUAACGCGUGAGUAACUGCCCCCCUCUCUGGGAUAACAGUUGGAAACGGCUGCUAAUACCUGAUAGUGGGGGAUGGCUCGCGUCCAAUCAGCUUGUUGGUGGGGUAGUGGCCUACCAAGGCGACGACGGGUAGCCGGCCUGAGAGGGCGACCGGCCACAAUGGGCUGCGAGACGGCGCAGACUCCUACGGGAGGCAGCGGUGGGGAAUAUGGCGCAAUGGGGGCAACUCUGUUGCGGAGACGCCGCGUGCGGGAUGACGGCCUGCGGGUUGUAAACCGCUUUCAGCCAUGACGCGGUAGUGGCAGAAGAAGCACCGGCUAACUACGUGCCAGCAGCCGCGGUAAUAC
Molecule: ribosomal RNA, 405 nt
Filed under: uncultured bacterium
Lineage: Bacteria
Description: partial 16S ribosomal RNA
Rfam family: Bacterial small subunit ribosomal RNA
Source: RNAcentral